Long non-coding RNA from Herpailurus yagouaroundi (jaguarundi), 616 nucleotides. RefSeq lists it as uncharacterized. Lineage: Eukaryota; Metazoa; Chordata; Mammalia; Carnivora; Felidae. The transcript has 4 exons. The record is from RefSeq and is a predicted model, not a curated record.
CCCGGGCCCCCAACAGGGGCAGAGACUUGCCUUGCUUCUAUACUCUGGGCACUGCUGUUAACAAGUCCGGGUGCCCCCUAUGUCUCCUGGCUGGCCACCCAACUUGGGAAGACACCUGCCCUGAGCGGGAGUCCACACACAGGAAAGCUCAACUCUGACCACACCGGACUGAGGAGGCUGACCCAGUGAAAAGGACCCCAAAUCUGCUACCUGUGGACCUCUCGAAAAGAAAGGGAUGUGGCAAAAUACUGGAAGGACUGUGAGGGGAGCACACAGAGGGAUGCAUGAAACUCUCCAGCGUGGCUCGAGAAGAUGGCUUUGCGAAGCCACAGACUGCGUGGGGAGAACCCACCAAGGAGCAAGAAGGGAUCCUAAUGGAUCACCAAGUUUGAGCUGAUUUUCUUCAAUCUCCUGGUGAAUCACCCAAACUGACCCCCGAGGAUAGAAAAAGUAACAAUGAGCAGACGGGGAAAGCUCUCAAGGGAGCCAACGGUCCCUGGAACAAGUGAGCGACACAGGCACACCCUGGAGGGAAGGCCCCCUGGGGCGGCGCAUGUGGCUCCCCAGCACAAGAAGGAGCAAACCGCUUCCCCGAUCUUGACGUGAGGCCGGCAUC